UGUGCCGUGGAUUAUUUGGUUAAAGUUCCUGUUUUGUAAAGAAGGAGAUCCUGGGUUCAAAUCCCAGUGGUGCCU
Non-coding RNA from Danionella cerebrum, 75 nucleotides. The record is from the annotation of a GenBank genome assembly. Lineage: Eukaryota; Metazoa; Chordata; Actinopteri; Cypriniformes; Danionidae.